Long non-coding RNA from Pseudoliparis swirei, 2032 nucleotides. RefSeq lists it as uncharacterized. Lineage: Eukaryota; Metazoa; Chordata; Actinopteri; Perciformes; Liparidae. The record is from RefSeq and is a predicted model, not a curated record. The transcript has 3 exons.
UCUCUCUUGGACAGAGACUUCACGUCAGCCGACACACGUUUACAACGAAUUUACACAGAACAUCACCGACAGCCGCAGUCGACCCAGAUUCGUAACCACAGCAUGUGCUGCAACAACCUGAAGCUGCAGUGAAAGUAGAGUUAACGUUCGACGCUUGUGCAUUGAGGAAGCGGCUGCCGCGUUUCCACCAUCUCACUGAGGAAUCCAGAGCACCACAACGCAAAGAUAACUACAAGUGUUGUAUGUGUGUGUUCCCCUCCCCCCCUUGUGUUCUCUUCAGGUGAAAUCAAUCGCCACCUAAACCGGCCAAUCCAACUCACCUGGGUGCAAGAAGGCGAGCUGGCCAAUCGGCUGAGAGGGCCCUGUUUAAAGCCGAGAAGACGGAAGACUUUGGGGUGGUGGUUUUUGGGGAGAGUGUUAAUGUGGACACUGCCACCGAGUGAUCGAAGGUUUGUGGUGAGAGGUUGUGGACAGUAGGUAAGUUUGGGGUACCCUGUACAUUUAUGCACUCAUGUAGGUACUAUGUGUCUAGAAACACUAGGUUAAUGGUUGUUGCUGCCUCUGUAUUGUUUUGACGCAAACUUUGUUAGAGAUGCUAGUGGAGCCAUUUUGUUUGUUUCUUUUCAGAGGUAGAUAGCCAGGCCUAGUUUUGUUAUCUUGAGUUCAUUUGUUUGGCGCAACUGUCCCGAUCUCUCCCACGUUAUUGAACCUUUGUCUUGUGUAUUAUAAAUAAAUAUUCUUUGACCACGAUACUCCUAAUUUUGAGCGUUUCCACUUAUUCUUUGACUGUCCUGUGUUCGUUCCCCCCGCUUAUCCCUUAGACCAAAAGGGGACGUAACAGUGAUAUAGAUGGCUGCUCUUCCAUUUGAAUACCCCAAUGGCGCUACGAAAGGGCUAAGGAAGAGGUUUAAAGACAGGACACUGCGUGGCAAUGAAGACAUUCUUUAUUACGAUAACCAUGAUUCUGGUGAAAAAGCAAACCUGAUUUUCUUCACCACAAACCUGAGAGAAUGGCAAAACGCAAUGGAGACACAGUAUGUUGAACUUCAGGAAAGUCAGACACAUUCCCAAAUCCUACUCAGUUCAGAGAAAUACGGUACCAUAUCGUUGUAUCAUAUUGGAAAAGUUGUGGUAAUGGGCAUGGCAUUAAUGAGAAGGUUUGAGUACGAUUUUCCAGAGAUGAGACAACGUACCCAGAGAACAAACCCACUCCCAGAAAUGGCAGCAUUAAACAUAAACAAUGAGGACAGUUCUCCCGACCAGCCAGAGGGCGCUCUUCCAACCCAAACCAACCCAUCCAUGCCAACCACACCUGAUGAUAUAGAUUGAUAAAAUAGUAAGAAGGAAAAUAAAUAUAUAAAAUGGAUAAUUCCAAGUAACUGCUUGUUAACGCUCUAAUUAUUAAGAUUAAUUUCAUGGAUAGGUAACUGGAUUGUAAAAUCAACUACAUAUUGUUUUCUGAUUUGUUAUUCAGUUUGUAAUUUACGCUACAACUUCUUUCUGGUGUUCAAAUAUUAGUUUAGAAUCGUGUCCCAAGAGUUAAAUCUAUACAGACUACGUAUCUUCUGAUCGAGUCUGGUGACCGUGUCUGAAUGUUGUGGGGAAGUAGAGUCGUCUUGUACUCACUGAGCAGGUGGUAGUUGGAGUCCCUCUCGUAUUUGAAGGUCAGUCUUCCAUAGCUGACAUGGUUGAGAUUCUUCAGCCACUCGAAAUAGGACACCGUCACACCGCCAGCAUUCAGGUACAUGUCCUGCAGGAUGAAACGCGUCACACACACACACACUUUGAUCUUUGCUCUUCUGUGUAUUGAAAUAUUUUUUAGGAACUUUCAUGUAUUUUUUCUUUUAAGAUUUUAUUUGGGAAGAACUGCAUUUCAGUUAAAUAAAAAGACACUGGAACUUUCUCAUGUAUUUUAAGACGUUAUGCUUUUGUGAAAGUGUAAAAUAAAAUAAAAAGUUAAGUAUAACACAUAAUCUGCAGAUAAAUCUGUUGCUUACACAAUAAAAGAUGGAUUUUAGUCAACAUAACUCUU